Molecule: ribosomal RNA, 213 nt
Filed under: uncultured bacterium
Lineage: Bacteria
Description: partial 16S ribosomal RNA
Rfam family: Bacterial small subunit ribosomal RNA
Source: RNAcentral
UACGUAGGGGGCAAGCGUUUGUCCGGAAUCAUUGGGCGUAAAGCGCGCGUAGGCGGCCCGGUAAGUCCGUUGUGAAAGUCAAAGGCUCAACCUUUGAACGCCGAUGGAUACUGCCGGGCUAGAGUCCGGAAGAGGCGAGUGGAAUUCCUGGUGUAGCGGUGAAAUGCGUAGAUAUUGGGAGGAACACCGGUGGCGAAGGCGGCCACCUGGGCC